RNAcentral lists this small nucleolar RNA (107 nucleotides) under Helianthus annuus (common sunflower). Its description in RNAcentral is "Plant small nucleolar RNA R71". It matches the Rfam family "Plant small nucleolar RNA R71". Rfam says of the family: R71 is a member of the C/D box family of snoRNAs containing the C (UGAUGA) and D (CUGA) box motifs. The record is from RNAcentral. Lineage: Eukaryota; Viridiplantae; Streptophyta; Magnoliopsida; Asterales; Asteraceae.
AUUCCAUGGUGCGGACAAUUUUUGAUCAUCAUAUUAAAGCGCUCAAAGGCUUCAUGGAACAUUUCACCUUGUUGUUGUUGGAAACUCCUCAACCCCCUUCCUAGCUU